This is a long non-coding RNA of Hydra vulgaris (swiftwater hydra), 478 nucleotides long. RefSeq lists it as uncharacterized. The record is from RefSeq and is a predicted model, not a curated record. NCBI's taxonomy places the organism in Eukaryota, Metazoa, Cnidaria, Hydrozoa, Anthoathecata, Hydridae.
AAUGGUUGUGUUUAGAUCCUAUCCCAUUCGGAACGAUUAUUUUUAUUUGCGUAUUUUGCCGAACAACAUUUAAAAACAUUUACGGAGCAAUAUUAAUAACAACAUAUCACACGUGCCUUGUUUGAUAGAUAUAUAUCUAUAUUUGUUACUAUAAUUGCUUUAUUACGUGGUAUUCAUUUUGUUAACUUCAUUGCUUUUACAGUGGGUUACUCUAUUAAUUCAUGGAUUUAGUAGUUCUUAAAGUUGCUGUUAAGUUCAAUCGAAGCACAGAAGCUGCACAAAAAGCGAAAUAGAAAUGAAGUUUUUGUUAUGGUUUCAAAAGUCGUUGGAUUGUGUGAGUAACAGCCGAUUAUAUUCUCAGAAAUACGCUACCAACGAUAAUGCUCCUGAGUUGGACAAUAUAUUUGUUUCUCCGUUUAAUGUUUCUUUGUACUUAGUGGUUUGCUUUUAUAUAAAAAAAAACUUAUUCUGUUGUUUA